RNAcentral lists this ribosomal RNA (253 nucleotides) under uncultured bacterium. RNAcentral describes it as "partial 16S ribosomal RNA". It matches the Rfam family "Bacterial small subunit ribosomal RNA", at positions 524 to 776 of the family's 1533-position model. The record is from RNAcentral.
UACGAAGGGGGCGAGCGUUGUUCGGAGUUACUGGGCGUAAAGGGCGCGUAGGCGGCGCUCCAAGUUAGGCGUGAAAGCCCCGGGCUCAACCUGGGAAUUGCGCUUAAGACUGGAGUGCUCGAGUGCGGAAGAGGUGAGUGGAAUUCCCAGUGUAGAGGUGAAAUUCGUAGAUAUUGGGAAGAACACCAGUGGCGAAGGCGGCUCACUGGUCCGCAACUGACGCUGAGGCGCGAAAGCGUGGGGAGCAAACGGG